UACGGGGGGGGCAAGCGUUGUUCGGAAUUACUGGGCGUAAAGGGCUUGUAGGCGGCCAACUAAGUCCGACGUGAAAUCCCCAGGCUUAACCUGGGAACUGCGUCGGAUACUGGAUGGCUUGAAUUCGGGAGAGGGAUGCAGAAUUCCAGGUGUAGCGGUGAAAUGCGCAGAUAUCAGGAAGAACACCCGUGGCGAAAGCGGCUCUCUGGAACGGUACUGACGCUGAGACGCGAAAGCGUGGGGAGCGAACAGG
This 253-nucleotide ribosomal RNA is filed under the name uncultured bacterium. Its description in RNAcentral is "partial 16S ribosomal RNA". It matches the Rfam family "Bacterial small subunit ribosomal RNA", at positions 524 to 776 of the family's 1533-position model. The record is from RNAcentral.